GAUGAACGCUGGCGGCGUGCCUAAUACAUGCAAGUCGAGCGAACGGACGAGAAGCUUGCUGCUCUGAUGUUAGCGGCGGACGGGUGAGUAACACGUGGAUAACCUACCUAUAAGACUGGGAUAACUUCGGGAAACCGGCGCUAAUACCGUAUAAUCUUUUGAACCGCAUGGUUCAAAAGUGAAAGACGGUCUUGCUGUCACUUAUAGAUGGAUCCGCGCUGCAUUAGCUAGUUGGUAAGGUAACGGGUUACCAAGGCAACGAUGCAUAGCCGACCGGAGAGGGGGAUAGGCCACCCUGGAACUGGGACACGGACCAGACGCCUACGGGAGGCAGCAGUAGGGAAUCGUCCGCAAUGGGCGAAAGCAUGACGGAGCAACGCGGCGUGAGUGAUGAAGGUCUUCGGAGCGUAAAACUCGGUUAUUAGGGAAGAACAUAUGUGUAAGUAACUGUGCACAGCUUGACGGUACCUAAUCAGAAAGCCACGGCUAACUACGUG
Molecule: ribosomal RNA, 497 nt
Filed under: uncultured bacterium
Lineage: Bacteria
Description: partial 16S ribosomal RNA
Rfam family: Bacterial small subunit ribosomal RNA
Source: RNAcentral